RNAcentral lists this ribosomal RNA (968 nucleotides) under Bacillus cereus. RNAcentral describes it as "bacterial SSU rRNA". It matches the Rfam family "Bacterial small subunit ribosomal RNA", at positions 85 to 1052 of the family's 1533-position model. Lineage: Bacteria; Bacillati; Bacillota; Bacilli; Caryophanales; Bacillaceae. The record is from RNAcentral.
CGUACAGCCGGGGCGAGACGGGAGAGUAACACGUGGGUAACCUGCCCAUAAGACUGGGAUAACUCCGGGAAACCGGGUCUAAUACCGGAUAACAUUUUGAACCGCAUGGUUCGAAAUUGAGAGGCGGCUUCGUCUGUCACUUAUGGAUGGACCCGCGUCGCAUUAGCUAUUUGGAGAGGUAACGGCUCCCCAGGGCAACGAUGCGUACCCGACCUGAGAGGGUGAUCGGCCACACUGGGACUGAGACACGGCCCAGACUCCUACGGGAGGCAGCAGUAGGGAAUCUUCCGCAGUGGACGAGAGUCUGACGGAGCAACGCCGCGAGAGUGAUGAAGGCUUUCGGGUCGUAAAACUCUGGUGUUAGGGAAAAACAAGUGCUAGUUGAAUAAGGUGGCACCUUGACGGCACCUAACCAAAAAGCCGCGGCUAACUACGUGCCAGCCGCCGCGGUAAUACGGAGGUGGCAAGCGUUAUCCGGAAUUAUGGGGCGUAAAGCGCGCGCAGGUGGUUUCUUAAGUCUGAUGUGAACCCCCACGGCUCCACCGUGGAGGGUCGUUGGAAGCUGGGACACUUGGGUGCAGAAGAGAAAAGUGUUAUUCCAUGAGUAGCGAAAAAAUGCGAAAAGAUAUGGAGGAACACCAGUGGCGAAGGCGAUUUUCUGUUCUGUAGCUGACACUGAGGCACGAAAGCGUGGGGAACAACAGGAUUAAUCCCCUGGUAGCCCCGCCGAAACGAUGAGUGCUAGUGUAGAGGUUUCCGCCCCUUAGUGCUGAUGUACACGCAUUAAGCACUCCGCUGGGGAGGACGGCGCAGUGAUGAAAACUAGAAGGGAUCGACGGGGGCCGCACAGCGGUGGAAGCUUGGUGUUAUACUACGAGCAACGCAAAAAACUCAUAACGAGUCUAGACCUCUCUGACUCCUAGAGAAGGCUCUUCUCUCUUCGGGGAAGAAAGAAGUACAGGGGGUGG